GACAGAGGGUGCAAACGUUGUCCGGAAUUAUUGGGCGUAAAGAGCUCGUAGGCGGUCUGUUGCGUCGGCUGUGAAAACCCGAGGCUCAACCUCGGGCCUGCAGCCGAUACGGGCAGACUAGAGUUCGGCAGGGGAGACUGGAAUUCCUGGUGUAGCGGUGAAAUGCGCAGAUAUCAGGAGGAACACCGAUGGCGAAGGCAGGUCUCUGGGCCACUACUGACGCUGAGAAGCGAAAGCAUGGGGAGCGAACAGG
RNAcentral lists this ribosomal RNA (253 nucleotides) under uncultured bacterium. Its description in RNAcentral is "partial 16S ribosomal RNA". It matches the Rfam family "Bacterial small subunit ribosomal RNA", at positions 524 to 776 of the family's 1533-position model. The record is from RNAcentral.